RNAcentral lists this ribosomal RNA (164 nucleotides) under Hampea appendiculata. RNAcentral's name for it is "5.8S ribosomal RNA". It matches the Rfam family "5.8S ribosomal RNA". Rfam says of the family: 5.8S ribosomal RNA (5.8S rRNA) is a component of the large subunit of the eukaryotic ribosome. It is transcribed by RNA polymerase I as part of the 45S precursor that also contains 18S and 28S rRNA. Functionally, it is thought that 5.8S rRNA may be involved in ribosome translocation. The record is from RNAcentral. Lineage: Eukaryota; Viridiplantae; Streptophyta; Magnoliopsida; Malvales; Malvaceae.
ACAAUGACUCUCGGCAAUGGAUAUCUUGGCUCUCGCAUUGAUGAAUAACGUAGCAAAAUGCGAUACUUGGUGUGAAUUGCAGAAUACCAUGAACCGUCGAGUCUUUGAACGCAAGUUGCACCCCAAGCCAUUAUGCCAAGGGCACAUCUUCCUGGGCAUCAUCC